AACGAACGCUGGCGGCAUGCCUAACACAUGCAAGUCGAACGAGACCUUCGGGUCUAGUGGCGCACGGGUGCGUAACGCGUGGGAACCUGCCCUUAGGUUCGGAAUAACUCCCCGAAAGGGGUGCUAAUACCGGAUAAUGUCUUCGGACCAAAGAUUUAUCGCCUUUGGAUGGGCCCGCGUUGGAUUAGCUAGUUGGUAGGGUAAAAGCCUACCAAGGCGACGAUCCAUAGCUGGUCUGAGAGGAUGAUCAGCCACACUGGGACUGAGACACGGCCCAGACUACUACGGGAGGCAGCAGUGGGGAAUAUUGGAAAAUGGGCGAAAGCCUGAUACAGCAAUGCCGCGUGAGUGAUGAAGGCCUUAGGGUUGUAAAGCUCUUUUACCCGGGAUGAUAAUGACAGUACCGGGAGAAUAAGCUCCGGCUAACUACGUG
RNAcentral lists this ribosomal RNA (433 nucleotides) under uncultured bacterium. RNAcentral's name for it is "partial 16S ribosomal RNA". It matches the Rfam family "Bacterial small subunit ribosomal RNA", at positions 29 to 507 of the family's 1533-position model. The record is from RNAcentral.